AGGAGUGUGGCGCAGUUGGAAAGCGCGCAGCCUUGCGAAGGCUGAGGUCGCCCGUUCGAGUCGGGCCAUUCCUA
This 74-nucleotide transfer RNA is filed under the name bacterium. The record is from Rfam by way of RNAcentral.